Molecule: unclassified non-coding RNA, 317 nt
Filed under: Hevea brasiliensis (rubber tree)
Lineage: Eukaryota; Viridiplantae; Streptophyta; Magnoliopsida; Malpighiales; Euphorbiaceae
Source: RNAcentral
GCAAUCAUGCAGUCUUUGGAGGGGUUGAGGAAAACUUGAUGGAUAAUGUUGUGUAUAUGGGUACCUUUUUUAAGCCUUACUCUUACAUAAAUCACUACAUGCAUGGGGAUUUCGCAGCAUCUGCUGCUGCUAAUCUAGCUGUUCUUUCAUCUGAGGAAAGUCGUGUUUCAGAUACUCAUAAAUCGGGCAAUGCUAGGAAGGUCAUCUCUGACAUGUCAUUGCAAAUAAAAGCAUUUUCGAUGGCGGCCUCUCGUUUUUUCUGGCCAAGUUUUGAAAAGAGGCUUAUGGAGGUUCCAAGGGAGAGGUGUGGCUGGGGG